CGUGUAGGCGGUCUUUUAAGUCUGAUGUGAAAGCCCCGGGCUCAACCUGGGAAGUGCAUUGGAAACUGGAAGACUUGAGUACGGGAGAGGAGAGUGGAAUUCCUAGUGUAGGAGUGAAAUCCGUAGAUAUUAGGAGGAACACCGGUGGCGAAGGCGGCUCUCUGGACCGAUACUGACGCUGAGACGCGAAAGCGUGGGUAGCAAACA
Molecule: ribosomal RNA, 207 nt
Filed under: uncultured bacterium
Lineage: Bacteria
Description: partial 16S ribosomal RNA
Rfam family: Bacterial small subunit ribosomal RNA
Source: RNAcentral